GCCUUCGUUGUGUAAUGGUCAGCACGCUCGACGCGUAUUCCAGAGGUCCGUGGUUCGAAUCUCGGCGAGGGCA
This 73-nucleotide transfer RNA is filed under the name Stegodyphus mimosarum. It matches the Rfam family "tRNA". From Rfam's summary of the family: Transfer RNA (tRNA) molecules are approximately 80 nucleotides in length. Their secondary structure includes four short double-helical elements and three loops (D, anti-codon, and T loops). The record is from Rfam by way of RNAcentral. Lineage: Eukaryota; Metazoa; Arthropoda; Arachnida; Araneae; Eresidae.